UCCUCUCUCUCUCUCUCUCUGCAAUCUUUAUCUCUAUAUCUUUCUGAAAUGUUUAUUCAUUUAUUUAAUAAACUAUGUAGGUAUAUGAAUAAUAAUUGAAUAUAUAUUCUGCAAUUGAAGCUUUUGAGGUUCAAUUCGACUAUGGUGGGAGUGGUGCACCCUCAACAAUUCAUCAAAUUGAAGCCUUUUCAGUUCUGAUUCAUCUGGGUCUCGCGAUUGCUCGGUGUUGAUUUAGUAUUUUAGGGUUUCUAAUUUAGGAGCUCCAUAGAAGCUUUGUACUCUGUCUAUGUUCUCUUUUGCAAUGAAAUGCUUCUAGGUGGCCAAAGUUCAUAGCUUUGAACGUUCCCCCCAAAUAGUGUACAAUCGACAAUUAUCAUGGCGUUGCUAUUGUUUUCUUUUUCAUUUUUUCCUCUUCCUGUACUAUCGUCUUGUUUUUAUUUGAUUUCGUAAGAAAAAAAAUUGAAAAAUAUCAUCAAUAAUUUGACAACUCUCACAGCUGCUCCCUAUCGUUGAAAAAAGAAGAAGAUAUUAUACUAAAAAAAGAAAAGAUAUUAUACUAAAAAAUAAAGAAAAAAAACUUUGUCAAUUGUUUGUUCAUGGGGAUCCCUGGAUUGAGCAAUCAGAAUAGUGGGCAGCAAAGAUUAGGCAUAACUGAGCCCAUUUCAUUGGCUGGACCAACUGAUGAUGAUGCGAUCAAGACGCUUGAACUUGAGAAGUACUUGCAAGGUGUUGGAUUGUACGAGAGUCAGGAGGAGGCUGUAGUAAGGGAGGAAGUGCUUGGCAGGCUGGACCAGAUUGUGAAGAUUUGGGUUAAGAACAUCAGCCGGGCAAAGGGGUUCAAUGAACAACUGGUGCAUGAAGCAAACGCCAAGAUUUUCACCUCCGGCUCUUAUCGGUUAGGGGUGCAUGGCCCUGGAGCUGAUAUAGAUACUCUUUGUGUGGGACCUAGACAUGCAUCCAGAGAUGAAGAUUUCUUUGGUGGGCUACAGAAGAUGCUAUCUGAGAUGCAAGAAGUAACAGAAUUGCACCCUGUGCCUGAUGCUCAUGUCCCUGUGAUGAAAUUCAAGUUUAAUGGAGUUUCUGUUGAUCUCCUGUAUGCAAGAUUAGCGUUGUGGGUUAUUCCUGAAGAUUUAGAUAUAUCACAGGAAUCAAUAUUACAAAGUGUUGACGAACAAACUGUUCUUAGUCUUAAUGGUUGUAGAGUAACUGACCAGGUCCUGCGAUUGGUUCCAAAUAUUCAGACCUUUCGCACGACAUUGAGAUGCAUGAGGUUUUGGGCCAAGCGUCGUGGUGUUUAUUCAAAUGUUGCAGGUUUUCUUGGUGGUAUAAACCUGGCAUUGCUUGUUGCUCGAAUAUGCCAGUUAUAUCCUAAUGCACUUCCUGAUAUGUUAGUGUCUCGAUUCUUCAGGGUAUAUACUCAAUGGCGAUGGCCUAAUCCAGUCAUGCUUUGUGCUAUUGAAGAAGGAUCUCUUGGACUACCAGUUUGGGAUCCUAGAAGAAAUCCCAAGGAUAGAUAUCAUCUAAUGCCUAUAAUUACUCCUGUUUAUCCCUGCAUGAACUCCACUUACAAUGUGACAUCAAGUACAUUGCGUGUUAUGUCAGAUGAGUUUCGGAGGGGAAGUGAAAUAUGUGAGGCUAUGGAGGCUAGCAAGGCUGAUUGGGAUACCCUUUUUGAGCCUUAUCCCUUUUUUGAAUCAUACAAGAAUUAUCUACAGAUAGACAUAACAGCAGAGAAUGCAGAUGACCUUAGACAAUGGAAAGGCUGGGUUGGGUCUCGUCUCCGGCAGUUGACAUUGAAGAUUGAGAGGCACACUUAUGGUAUGCUUCAAUGUCAUCCACAUCCUGGUGAAUUCUCAGACAAUUCUAGACCUUUUCACCACUGUUACUUUAUGGGUCUGCAGCGUAAGCAAGGAGUUCCAGUGAAUGAAGGUGAACAGUUUGAUAUAAGGUUAACUGUUGAAGAAUUUAAACAUUCUGUCAACGUUUACACUCUAUGGAAACCUGGAAUGGAUAUCCAUGUGUCCCAUGUGAAACGCAGUAACAUUCCUAACUACAUAUUUCCUGGUGGUGUGCGACCUACCUUCCCAUCAAAAGUAACUGCCGAGAAUAAACAGAGUUCCAAAUCAAGGGCUUCUGGCCAUGGUCAAACAGAAAAGCCUCAAGGAGGUAAAGCUGUUGCAGUUGGAGCAGAUGAUGUGAGGAAGAGAAAGAGAUCAGAGGACAACAUGGAUAAUAACCCAAGGAAUUCCAGGUCCCCUGUAUCUUUACCUCCCCCCAGCAGGGAAGUUCAUGAAGAUAUAUCUCCUAUUAGUGCUUCAAGUUCUUGUUCUAUGAAAUUUGAUGAAUCAGAAGUGAAUAGUAUUGGUGGACAAAAGAGCGAGAAACUUUGUCUGAAAUCUCCAGGUGAGAUUCCUUCUGGGGAUAGUGGGACCAAUGGAUCAGUGACAAGCAACCAACAAGUGAACCCUGUAUUUGCAGCUGCUGAUACAUCUAAUUCUAAAGAAGAAGAAAAGCUAGCCAUUGAAAAGAUUAUGUCCGGUCUGUAUGAUGCACAUCAAGCCUUUCAAGAAGAACCCAAAGAGCUUGAAGAUAAUACUCAAUAUAAAAAUCAAGACAAAGAUUCUGGUGCGAACAUGAAAAACAACAUGGAAUCUUUAGACUCAAAGCCUGCAGUGCCAGAAGAGCCAGUUAUUUCUAAGGAAAUUACUUGUUCAACUCAUUUAUGCUCCAAUGAGAGCUUGGAGGAGCUUGAGAUAUCAGACUUCCCUAAACUGCUUGCUAUUGUCUGUGCUGUGCUAAAGUUGCUCAAAACUCAGUCCAAUCUGCAUAGGAGCUGCAAUUUCUUGGACUUGUUUUCAUCUCCGCCCCCUGUAGUACAUGUGCAUGCACAAUGUCUGGUUGUCCCUGUUAGUUGUUUUUUCUUUUUUAUCAAUAUAUUUUAGACAGAAUUUGGUUGAAAUUUUCUUCAAUGGUGUGCAGUACAAGUAUGGUAAAAAAGCAGCAAUAUCUCUAUACACAAAUAUAUGGUGAGGUUAUCUGGACUUCAUAUAGAUCAUAUGACCUUAUCACAUAAAUCUGACAGGUUCCUUUAUGAAUUUUUAGCAAGGGUGCUACAUUGGCAUAUGUUCCUGUUAUUUAAUCCCAGCUAUAACAUAAUAAGCUGGAUUAUAUUUCUCUGCUUCUGUUUUCUUGUUCCCUUUCAUCCUGAAUAUGCAUUUGUUAUUACUUAGAUCUUUUAUGGAUCAAUCCUAUACAUUACAGUAGCAUGUUUAUCAUUUAUCGAUAUUUCAGUGUUAUUUUACCAUACAAUUGGAUGAAGAAUUGAUGUGGUUCUAACUAUUCUUUUUUUUUUCUCCCUCCCCUUGGUCUCUUUUCUUUUGGCAAAAGCCUGCUGAGCUAACAGCACCAUUGUUAAGUGGGCCUCCUGCACCUGUACCAAUGAAGAAGCCGCUUAUCAGGUUGAACUUCACCUCCUUAGGCAAAGCUGCCGACAAAAGUGUUUAAGCUACAACUACAGUUAAAACUCUAUAAAUUAAUAAUGUCAGGACCAGAUAAAUUUAUUAAUUUAGAGAGUUAGUAAUUUAUCGAUAAAUUAAUAAUUAUUAAUUUAAAAAGUUUUAAAGUAAUUAUACUGUACAUACCAAACAAAAAGACAAAUUAGUCUAUGUCUCUUAGAAUUACGUUGCAGCGAACCUUGGGACUCAACGUAAAUUAGUAACUACUGUGUUCAUAUGUAUUGGAAAUCAAUAAUGACUUUUGAAGUACAGUAAAUGUAAACAAGAGGAACAAAUGUGCUCAAUGUAUUCUUAAGCAAGUUUGACAUAUAUAAAUUACAUGAAUGUGUUAGAGUA
This is an RNA transcript of Glycine soja, 3851 nucleotides long. It is a transcript of the gene named nuclear poly(A) polymerase 1-like, with no coding region annotated. The transcript has 12 exons. NCBI's taxonomy places the organism in Eukaryota, Viridiplantae, Streptophyta, Magnoliopsida, Fabales, Fabaceae. The record is from RefSeq and is a predicted model, not a curated record.